This 6319-nucleotide long non-coding RNA is filed under the name Triticum aestivum (bread wheat). RNAcentral describes it as "long non-coding RNA (TAES_LNC004040)". Lineage: Eukaryota; Viridiplantae; Streptophyta; Magnoliopsida; Poales; Poaceae. The record is from RNAcentral.
AACACGACAAAGUCAAUCCGUGCUUUAUUAUUAAAAAAAUAGGGAAAGAUUAAAUAGUACAUACACACACACACGUAUAUCUCCUAAAAGAAACAUGAUCUUGAGGUUUAGCAUCCACUGACAGUAAACAAUUUGCAAGAACAAUAACAACGAGUUCCCCAAGAGAAAAGGAAAAAUCAAGAAGAUUCUCCGAUGCAAACGGUGCUACGCUAUGGAUAACUGAGCAUCUGAACAAAACUUAACGGCAUGAUACACUCAGCAGUCGCGAUCAAACAUUAAUUCACACGCAAAAAAAGUCGCACCAUGAUCCAUAAAACAGGCAUGAGUACCAAAUUUGGUAUUUCAUUUUUUUUCACCUGCAAAAGAAAAACGAAUACCAAGUUUAGUAUCAGAAGCCAGGCGCCGGAAUAUUUCCAGCCCAAUAAUCUCCGUUGGAUUUCGGAAAGGAGAACAAUAACAGGCACAGGCUGUUGAUCCAAGUGCUACAACAGAUUAUCAGGCUGAGUCCCUACAACACAGUCCUUUUAUUAACGUGGGUCCUGGACAACGUUCGUUUAGCGCCGAAUUCAUAAACACAAAAGUGGUUGUGAAUCAGUCCAAAAAUCAGAAAUACAGCUAAGACAGCGCAAAUGAUAAGCCGAGUUCUAUGUUUUCACCAUCACAACAACUUGACACCAGCUUCUCUGACAGAAUCUAUAACAGCCUUGACUUUCCGAUGGUACUUCUGCUCUCUCUUCAUGUGGAUGGACAUGAUAGAAUCACGGAUCGGUUAGGCUAGGAUUCCGGCAACAGUAGUGAUAGGUAUUGCCUUUUUCUUGGCCUGAGGAGUUCCCGCCGUUGGCCAUGGUGGAUGGCUACGGCGGUGAUGGCAGAGAGUGCGUGAGUGGCGGCGGUGGAGCUUCCCAUCGCUUCAGUGCCUCCCUCUGGAUCGGAUAGGGUUAUGAGUGGGGAACAGUGGCGGUGACGAACCUCGUACUCCGUGCCCCUGGUCCCCACCUCCUCUUUAUAGCACUGCGCGACAGGGGCCCACCAGCCUUGCUUGGGCUGGACGCCCCCGAUCAGGGCGUGGGUCAAGGGCCCAAUGAGCCGUUGGGCCCAUUGGUGGAGAGAUCAAUCUAACAUUCUCCCCCUUGAUCUCAUCAUAUACUUUUAACUUUAUACUUUGAAAUAACUCUUUUCAAAGUACUCGUUCCAUCACAGAUUUGCAUGUAGAGCAUGUCUCAUCAUCACGGUUCAUUCCCGAUAGAAUCAACACCUACAACACACUCUUCUGUUUUGAAACAGAAUCUUUAACCUUGGGCCCUUUUAUUGUCCGGAAAUCUUAGACUAUACCAUAAAACCCAUGUCGACUGUGUGUUCUCUGAACACACUGGGCGGUAAGCCUUUAAUUAAGCAGAUCUGCGAACACUUGUCUGUUGCUUUUAUGCUUCAAGCAUUUUUACAUAAUUCCGGACUUUCUCCUUUACAACGCAUAACUCUGUGUCAGUGUGUUUGGCAUCAACACUUGACUCGUUGUCAUAGGAGCAAAAAACUUAAAAUGGUUAUCGUUGUUGUCAACCAUUAUCAGUUCCGGGUACAGGUCUCCUUAACCAUUUUGCCUGUCCCUCAGCCUCAUAUCAAGCUAUAACCUAUCUUUGCAUCAUAUUGAUGAUAAUUGUUUCAUUCUUUUUGGAGCUUUUCCACACAAAAAACUCCAAGUGUGAAAGUUAGCGACAAUUGUGGAUUCCGCUAUACGUUCACAAGUCUUGUCUUUGUACUCACAAUCUUUUGAGAGCACUUAUUUCUUUCAGCAUGAGGCUGGUAUCUUUGACUCCAUUCCAUGUGAUCUAUAUAUGGACUGGACAUUGUCAAAACAAUUCGGAUCCGUGAACUGUGUCAGGGUAAUAUAUUGAGCUUCCAACAGCUUAAGCAUAUGGUACCAUAUCCGUUUUCAAUCUUUUCUCAUCAACUUUUGGAACACCAUAGUUUCCAGUCUCAUUACCCUUGACUAUAAGAACAGGCGUAGGUUUUCUCGCAUGCAUACUUUAGAGACCUUUCUUAGCAUGUCCAUGUCACAUUCCCAAUACCCCUUUUAUUAUUUUCUUGGUGAAUCUCGAUAAUUAUAACAAGAGACACUCUACUGAGAACAUUAUCUUGAACUUUGAGAACAAGAACUUCUUUUCUUCUCCUGCAGUAGAUUGACAUGACCACUAGUAAGUAGGACGUCAUCCACAUGCACAUGAUUAGGAAAUGAAUUUCCCAAUCUAUAACUUUGCAUGAAUACAAUUGUCCUCUCAUUUUCUUUAACCCAAAAUAACAUCUGAUUCUACUAACUUUAAAUGCCACUGUCUAGAGACUUGCUCUAGUCCAUAAAAGACUUCUUGAAGCAGUAUCCCUUGCGUUCUUUACUUUCAUCUGAUGUAACUCAGAUCAUGAUGUCGAUCAUGAUGUGCCACUAACACUCAUUGUAAUCUAUUCAUUCUCUUUUCACAAAAUCUUUCGAUUUAAGUCACGCUUUACACCUUUACAUAUUUCCUUUGGAGUCACAUUGAACUUGUAGACCCUUUACAGCCUACUGUUUUGACUCCAUUGGAAAUUACUUAUGAGUCCCAAACAUCGUCGGGAUUCACAAAUUUUAUUUCAUCUCACAUAGUCCCUUUAUCAUUUAGACAAAACAGACACUACUCAAAACUCGAUUGAGCGCUUUAAACGAGGUGGAAUCAACCUCCAUUAACAUAGACUUUAUGGUAAUCAGGAGUAUCUGAUUUUCUCAUUCCUCGAGACCAUCUGUGUCUCAGGUACUGGCACUUCUUUCAUAUGGGGUUGUUGUUGCUCUGUCAUUGCCAACAGGCAAAUUAAUUGUAUACUCUUUCAUUUCCAAGAGGCAAUAGGUUUUACAGGGACCUUUAUCACAAGAUCCAUGUUUAAUCAUUCCUCCUUUAUAGAGCUAACAACGGGUGUUGUAUAGGUCAUACAACAUGCUCCCUAGAUACAAUCUUUUUGAGUCUUAGGUAUCUUCAUACCAUGCUCCCCCAGAUUACUCCAUCUUCACUAAGAAUGGCGUAUCUUUAAGAUUAUUAUUUGGGUUUAUUCUGUUAAAACUUUCUUCUUUAUGGCACUUUAAGCACCGUCUUAGUAUUCCUUAGUCUGCUUUCGGAACUGUAAAAGAUCUAGGAAUACAACUAUUUCUUUUCUUUAGGGGUAUUAUUAUGAUCGUCGUACUCCCCCAGACGAUCACAUUCUUCAUUAAUGGAUAUCUCAUAUUUCUUUCUCCCCCUCGAAAUGUGGCAAGAACUUUUCUGCCACAAUUUCGAAAAACCAUUCACAACUCUUGUGAAUUGAGGAAACUUUGAAUAUCUACUUCAUUUAUCUGAUUACUUCAUAUAUAAUGAAGUUAUUUGUUAACUGGUAUGGGAGUACUUUUUCCUUAUUCCAUUUCAGAAACUCAACAAAGUUCUUUCUCAUUAGUACUUUUGCAAGUCACACUUGCAUAUCAUUCUUAUCUUUAGGUUCGUCUGUAACUUUUGUUCUCUUCGGAUUUAUCGAGUGCUUAAUGACCGUUACACAUAAGAUGUACGGUCGAUACUAGGAAGGCAUAAUAGCUACUCCAUACUUUUCUCCCAGAGUGGGACACAUUAAAAGCACAUGAGUCACCAUGUCUUUCUCCUGUCAUACAAGAUAAGUCUGAGAAAAUUUCUGCCGCCAUACGGGUUACGCAGGGAUUUUCCCAGACUUUUCCUGCCAUGCGGGUUUUAUCAUAAACAUCUUUUCCCGCCAUGCGGGUAAUUCCCUGUACGGGACAUAAAUGCCAGAAUUGGCUCUUUUGACUGCAUAUUCAAUCAUCAAAUUUAGGAAUAAAUCCGAAUGCUCUUUGACACACAUGCUUGAUCCGACGUUGGUCAAAUUAAACACGCAUGUUGCUUGUUUCAACUCAAAUCAUGUUGACUGAAUAAUCUGCUUCAUAGAGAGUACAUGAAAGACAUUCGUCAACCAAGACUCUCAAUGAUCUAUCUCUUUUCUUUUCUUGGAUAUUAAUAUUCAAGAAUUAUUUUCUUUUAAAGCCAUUCUUUAGAGAGAACAUACUCCCUCACAUUAUGACCUUUCUUGGUCAUCUUUCGGGUCACAAGUACCCAGGCAUUUUCUUUCACGAAUGAAGGCAUGGAAAACUUUUAGUCUGAGAAAAAAUUUAGCCAAUAAUCAACAAUACUGAGCAUAAAAAUAACCCAUGUUGAUCUGGUUAAAAAAUAUGCACAUUAAACUUUUAAAACCUUCUUCUAUAUUCGAAAUCACCGUUGGGCAGAAUUAGAAUAAAACAUCAUCCUUCUACAUUAAUUCCAUAUCACCGUUGGGCGGAAAUGGAAAUAAUGCAUAUAACUCUUAAACAAUGUGAUGAUAGUAUUUCUAUUAAACAACUUUGAUAAGAAAUCAUCAUCAUCACCAACUUUAUUGCAGCGGGAACAAGAAAUAUACAUUUCUCUAGCUCAAGAGCUUUUCUUGAUCUUUAUCUUUUCUCUGAAAAUUGAUCACUUUGAUACAAAAUUUAUCAGAGAUUUAAGCUUUGAACAUAGGACUCAUAGAACUAUAAUACUGUUAUUAUCAACGUUGGUCAGAAAAUAACAAUACCAUAUUUUCACUUUAAAACAAAUAUCUUUCUUUUGUCAUAUUGGAAACUAUCUGAAUCUUAUUUCACCCACAUGGGAAAAACAUUGCUAAGAACAGUUCUUCCAAUUAAAUUUUCCCGUUGGUUCCAAUUUAAUUGGAGGAUAAAACUUUACUUUGCAGCGGAAAUUUUACAAUAUUCUAUUCAGAAACAAUUCUGUACUCUUUUACUCUUUAAGCAAUUUUAACCGGUUGGUUAAAAAUGCAUUAGAGAAGCAACAAUUUAAUCAUUUUCUUUAGUUCUAUUCACUUUUAAAAGAGCACUUUUAUUUUUAUUUUGCAGCGGAAAACAUGGAUUAAAAAAUUCAUGAACUUUUUAUUCUUUACAAAAACUUUUAUUUACUGUUACUUUGCUAUUUUCUAGACAAAUUUUCGUUGGAUUAAUUUGAAUAGAAAAAAAACUCCGGACAAAACAAAAAAAUGAAACGCUUCCUGUGCUGGCCGCAAAUGGCCCAGCCAUUCGGAGCCCGUUUGGCUCGCGCGCGGCUGCCGGAUCCGGCCCAGCGCGCCGCUGCGGCCUGACGCGGCCCAGCGACCGCCAGUGCUAGCAGCCCAGGGCGUGCGAGCCGGUCUUGCCGCACUUGUGGCCCAAAAGGGCCCAUGUACGCUAGGUUUUCUAUCGGGACCGUUCAACAGAUCGGACGAUCGCCCGUGGAGAUCGCUCGAUCAAAAACGAAGCAGCGAGGGGAUCGACCGAAACCCUCGGCCAUUCCUUUCCUUCCCCCGCGCCGCCGCGGACUGCGCCGUGGGUCCUGACCUCGCCGGCCGCCGGCGACGCCGUCAAGCGCCUCCGCGCGCGCUGGGCUCCUUUUCUUCCCUUCCCCCUCCUUUGUCAGUGAGAGAGAGGCGCGGCGGAGCCAUCAUCUGCUCCGCACCCGCAAGGGCAAUGCCCAGCCACCGGCGAGUCUCUGUAUGGCCGCCGGCGACAGCGUCAAAAGCCACCUCGCCGCGCGAGCCACCUCUUCUUCGCCUUGUUUCUCUGUUUCUCCACCACCCGCGUCUCCUCUCUGUUUCACCGAGGACAACGACGGCGUGAAGCAGCGGUGCCCCCUCUGUGCCCCUUGCCGGUGUGCGCGAGCUCCCGUGGGAGAGCGCGCCGCCGUCAAGCGGUGCGGUGGUGGUGCCCUUUUGCCCCCUUGGGGAGGUUGUGUUCUUCUUCCCCGCACCUCGGCUUGCCGAUGCGUGUGGGGAUCGAGAGGAACUGCGCGGCCUUGCGGCGGCGCACUUAGCUGGCGAGCACGAGGCCCUCUCCGGUGAUUUCUUUGCCCUGUUUCGGGGUAGGUUCUUCGUCCGACGCCUCGGCUUGCCGAUGCGCGUCCGGAUCGAGAGGAACGGCGCGGCCUUCCGGCGGCGCACUUUGCCCUUCUCCCCUCUUUCUUUUUGUUUUGGGGUUAGGGUUUCUCUCGGGAGGGGAUUUCCUUUUCUUUUCUGUACCGAAAAUCCUAAACCAAUCUCUGGCUGAUACCAUUGAUAGAAUCACGGAUCGGUUAGGCUAGGAUUCCGGCAACAGUAGUGAUAGGUAUUACCUUUUUCUUGGCCCGAGGAGUUCCCGCCGUUGGCCAUGGUGGAUGGCUACGGCGGUGAUGGCAGAGAGUGCGUGAGUGGCGGCGGUGGAGCUUCCCAUCGCUUCAGUGCCUCCCUCUGGAUCGGAUAGGGUUAGGAGUGGGGAACAGUGGCGGUG